AGAGGGGGUUAGUAGCUUGCCACAGGAAUCUAGUGAGAAAAGUGUCAGAACCUGAAUUCAAUGCUUUCUAACUCCAGAACCCAUGCUUACAAUGAAGUGUGAACGAAGACACAGAGCACCCUGUGGCUGUUUUCUCCCAACAACAACACUUUUCACUAUGUCUUCCAGUGAGACCUGCCUUCCGCCAUGAUUGUGAGGCCUUCCCAGCCACCUGGAACUUCUUCUCUCUCCAGCUCAAUGAAUACACCUCACACGCAAGAGAAGAUGAAUUUAUCUUUGUGGCUGAGAAAUGCUCACAUGUGAGAGCGGGAAAGAACACAAGCUUUGGAGAGGAGAACACGGUUGAAACCUCGGUCCUGAAACCUAGUGUGGUCUUUAAGCCAGGUUCCUUACCUUCUACCCCACAGCAUUCCAUCUGUCAAUAAAAUUAGUAAGGACUGGGGUGU
Long non-coding RNA from Pongo pygmaeus (Bornean orangutan), 446 nucleotides. RefSeq lists it as uncharacterized. The record is from RefSeq and is a predicted model, not a curated record. The transcript is spliced from 3 exons. Lineage: Eukaryota; Metazoa; Chordata; Mammalia; Primates; Hominidae.